UACGGAGGGUGCGAGCGUUGUCCGGAAUUAUUGGGCGUAAAGGGCGCGUAGGCGGCCUUUCAAGUGACGGGUGAAAUCCCUCGGCUUAACCGAGGAACUGCCUGUCAGACUGGAAGGCUUGAGACCGGGAGAGGUGAGUGGAAUUCCCAGUGUAGCGGUGAAAUGCGUAGAUAUUGGGAGGAACACCAGUGGCGAAGGCGGCUCACUGGACCGGUACUGACGCUGAGGCGCGAAAGCGUGGGGAGCAAACAGG
Molecule: ribosomal RNA, 253 nt
Filed under: uncultured bacterium
Lineage: Bacteria
Description: partial 16S ribosomal RNA
Rfam family: Bacterial small subunit ribosomal RNA
Source: RNAcentral